RNAcentral lists this ribosomal RNA (430 nucleotides) under uncultured archaeon. RNAcentral's name for it is "bacterial SSU rRNA". It matches the Rfam family "Archaeal small subunit ribosomal RNA", at positions 474 to 903 of the family's 1478-position model. The record is from RNAcentral.
UACCUGCAGCUCAAGUAGUGACCACUAUUAUUGGGCCUAAAACGUUCGUAGCCUGUUUGGUAAAUGCCUGGGUAAAUCGUGUAGCUUAACUAUACGAAUUCCGGGUAGACUGCCAAACUUGAAACCGGGAGAAGCUAGAGGUACUUCUGGGGUAGAGGUGAAAUUCUGUAAUCCUAGGGGGACCACCAGUGGCGAAGGCGUCUAGCUAGAACGGGUUUGACGGUGAGGAACGAAGCCCUGGGGCGCAAACCGGAUUAGAUACCCGGGGUAGUCCAGGGUGUAAACGCUGCUUGCUUGGUGUUAGUUGGGCUCCGAGCCCAAUUAGUGUCGGAGAGAAGUUGUUAAGCAAGCUGCCUGGGAAGUACGAUCGCAAGAUUGAAACUUAAAGGAAUUGGCGGGGGAGCACAGCAACGGGUGGAGCGUGCGGUUU